This 71-nucleotide transfer RNA is filed under the name Loxodonta africana (African savanna elephant). It matches the Rfam family "tRNA". Rfam says of the family: Transfer RNA (tRNA) molecules are approximately 80 nucleotides in length. Their secondary structure includes four short double-helical elements and three loops (D, anti-codon, and T loops). Lineage: Eukaryota; Metazoa; Chordata; Mammalia; Proboscidea; Elephantidae. The record is from Rfam by way of RNAcentral.
UCACAGGUGGUUUAGUGGUAGAAUUUUUGCUUUCCAGGCAGGAGACCCAGGUUCAAUCCCCAGCCAAUGAC